This is a long non-coding RNA of Helicoverpa armigera (cotton bollworm), 724 nucleotides long. RefSeq lists it as uncharacterized. Lineage: Eukaryota; Metazoa; Arthropoda; Insecta; Lepidoptera; Noctuidae. The transcript is spliced from 3 exons. The record is from RefSeq and is a predicted model, not a curated record.
AACUUCCAUAUAUUCCUUCAUUCCUUCCUUCCCGAUCGCCCUUUCACUCUUUAUUUUCGAGAUCGUAGUUCGGCGCAGCUUGUAUUUAGCAAAAAUAGUUAAUUUAAUACUUCUAAUAACACCUGUGACAUCUCAAACAAUAGAAGAUUAUAUGGUUUUUGGCCAUUAAGCCUGCGUCUGCUGGGUUAAUAGAGAUGUUGUCAAGAGUGCUUGCUUGGCAUGAUUCAGGAAAGGAGGCUGUGAUUAGUUCAAUGAAGAAUUCAAUAAACAAAUGGCGAAGACCUCAAGAAUUAUUAUCAAGCAACCAUCUUAUUCACAAGAUGCAGCUUCAAUUGAUUUUCUUUCCAUAUUCUUGAGAACAAAUUACCAUUUUGAAGUGUUCAGUUUUGGUCUGAAAUGGCGAGAUUUUUGAGUCUUAAAAGUUGGUUAUCAGAUUAUUGCCUGGCUAACUGGGUUGAGGUCAGAUAGGCUGUCACUCCUUGUAAACUGGUACUCAGCUGCAUUUGGUUAGAUUGGAAGUGUCGACUUCAGUCCACAUAGUAAAAGUAACUUGGAAAAAGGCUCGGGAGGUGAUGAUGUUGGUUUUCGAUUUGAAUUUCUUAAAUGCCUUCAUGGCAGCAGAUGUUUUCAGAUUGGCUACAGUUAUUUAUUUAUUUGUAUAUUGUAUUCAGAUAUUAUAAAGGUCACUUCCUGUAUUCUUGAAUACUAUUGCAUUGAAAAGAAA